Molecule: ribosomal RNA, 1550 nt
Filed under: Triticum aestivum (bread wheat)
Lineage: Eukaryota; Viridiplantae; Streptophyta; Magnoliopsida; Poales; Poaceae
Description: partial small subunit ribosomal RNA
Source: RNAcentral
CGCCAUGCUCCCCUUCUACCUCUCCCGCUACGGCAACCCGCACUCCCGCACCCACCUCUACGGCUGGGAGUCGGACGCCGCCGUCGAGGAGGCCCGCGCGCGCGUCGCCAGGCUCAUCGGCGCCGACCCCAGGGAGAUCUUCUUCACCUCGGGCGCCACCGAGUGCAACAACAUCGCCGUCAAGGGCGUCAUGCACUUCUACCGCGACCGCCGCCGCCACGUCAUCACCACCCAGACCGAGCACAAGUGCGUCCUCGACUCCUGCAGGUACCUCCAGCAGGAGGGGUUCGAGGUCACCUACCUCCCCGUUCGCCCCGACGGCCUCAUUGACGUCGCGCAGCUCGCCGAUGCCAUCCGCCCCGACACCGGGCUCGUCUCCGUCAUGGCCGUCAACAACGAGAUCGGCGUUGUCCAGCCGCUCGAGGAGAUUGGCCGCAUCUGCCGCGAGAAGGGCGUGCCCUUCCACACAGACGCGGCGCAGGCUCUCGGGAAGAUCCCAAUUGAUGUCAACCAGAUGGGGAUUGGACUCAUGUCGCUGUCUGCUCACAAGAUUUAUGGGCCCAAGGGUGUCGGUGCGCUCUACCUGCGCCGCCGCCCUCGCAUUCGCGUGGAGCCACAGAUGAGUGGGGGUGGCCAGGAACGUGGCAUCCGCAGUGGCACGGUGCCCACGCCAAUUGUUGUUGGAUUUGGUGCUGCCUGCGAAAUUGCAGCCAAAGAGAUGGACUACGACGAGAGGCGAGUUAGUGCUCUGCAGCAGCGUCUGCUUGAUGGCAUCCGUUCCAAGGUUGAUGAUGUUGUCAUCAAUGGUAGCAUGGAGCACCGGUACGCGGGCAACCUGAACUUGUCAUUUGCAUAUGUCGAGGGCGAGAGCUUGCUGAUGGGGCUGAAGGAGGUGGCUGUGUCAAGUGGCAGCGCAUGCACCAGUGCUAGUUUGGAGCCUUCCUAUGUGCUCCGGGCGCUUGGUGUGGAUGAGGACAUGGCACACACCUCCAUUCGAUUUGGCAUUGGCCGCUUCACCACCGAGGAAGAGGUCGACAGAGCAACUGAGCUCACUGUCCAUCAGGUGCUUAAGCUCCGGGAGAUGAGUCCACUCUAUGAGAUGGCUAAGGCAGGCAUCGACAUCAAGAGCAUCCAGUGGUCGCAGCACUGAGACUCUUAUCACAAUGCUGUUCGCUGGACUGCUUUAGAUGUGCUCGGAUGGACACAUACAUAGGCACGUUUGGUAGUUGAAGAUAGUGUUGGCAUCCUAAUCAUAAUGAUAGAUCUGCGAAGAUGAUCGAUGAGUAUUAUGUAAGGAGGCAUGUUUGGCAGCACUCAAAACAAUCUGGCGAGAGUUAGAUUUGUUCUCUAGCUGGAAUGUAUCAAAACACGAAAUAAUGAUAUUUGCUGUUGUAUCUUUUGAAGGACAGUUUGAACUAGUUACAGCGCUGUGUAUGUAUUAUUGCUGCAGAUAUGGUUUUGGUAUUCUCUCAGUUUGUUAUGACAAGAGAUAUGUACUCUUUGGUUCUGAUUUUUUGUUAUUCUGGUAACAUCUCAAUAAUCUGGUGGGG